Molecule: long non-coding RNA, 23565 nt
Filed under: Citrus x clementina
Lineage: Eukaryota; Viridiplantae; Streptophyta; Magnoliopsida; Sapindales; Rutaceae
Description: Citrus clementina (C. clementina) long non-coding RNA (CCLE_LNC005249)
Source: RNAcentral
AGCCUUAUCAACUUUUUAUUUGCCUCCUGUUAUUGCUCUUCUAUUCUCAGUGUUCAGCAAUACUUUGCUCUCACGACCAAAGUUCUGCUUUACUCCAAUUUAAACAGCUCUUUUCCUUUCAAAAACAUUCUUCAUUAUCUUGUGAAAUAUUUCAACAAAUAUCUCGUCCAAAGAUGAUGUCUUGGAAAGAGGACGCUGAUUGCUGCUCCUGGGAUGGAGUAACAUGUGAUUCGGCGACGGGUCACGUGAUUGGCCUCGACCUCAGUUGCAGUUGGCUUCAUGGCAACAUCCCUUCCAACACUAGCCUUUUCUUUCUUCCUCGCCUGCGAAUGCUCAACCUAGCCUUUAAUGAUUUCAAUUACUCUAAAAUUUCUUCUGGUUUUACUGAUCAAUUUCCAAGUUUGACACUCCUUGACCUCUGUUCCUGCAAUUUCACGGGGUCAAUUCCUCCCUCACUAGGUAACAAUAUUACACAGCUUGCUUAUUUGGAUCUAUCAAUUAACAGUUUUAUUGGUCACAUUCCAUCAUCUUUUUCAAAUCUCCACCAGCUUCGUCAUUUAGAUCUUCAGUCCAACAACUUUGUUGGUAAAAUUCCUGCAUCAUUAGGUAACAAUAUUACACAACUUGCUUAUUUGGAUCUCUCAUCUAACAGUUUUAGUGGUCACAUUCCAUCAUCUUUUUCAAAUCGUCAGCAGCUUUGUUAUUUAGAUCUUGAUGACAAUCACUUUGUUGGUGAAAUUUCUGCUUCACUUGGUAACAAUAGUACACAACUUGCUUAUUUGGAUCUCUCAUCUAACGGUUUUAGUGGUCACAUUCCAUCAUCUUUUUCAAAUCUUCAGCAGCUUCUUUGGUUAAAUCUUGAGUACAAUAAUUUUGUUGGUAAAAUUCCGGAUAUGUUUACCAACCUAACCCAACUUUCUUUUUUAGGCUUGGCAUAUAAUGAACUGAUAGGCUCGAUUCCAAGUUCAAUCUUUGAACUUUUGAAUUUGACUGAGAUCUAUCUUUCCUUUAGCAAUUUCAGUGGCAGCGUUGAGCUUUACGAUUUUGCAAAGCUCAAAAAUCUUAAAGUUCUUUCUCUUUCUAAUAUUAGUUUAUCAGUGAGCACCAAAUUAACAGCCAACUCAUCGUUCCCUAAUCUUUCGGCGUGGGAUUUAUCGGCUUGUAAUUUAAGUGAGUUUCCAGACAACUUGAGAACUCAACAUCAGUUAGAGUUGUUGGACCUUUCUGAAAACCAAAUCGGUGGUAGGAUUCCCAGUUGGAUGUGGGAUAUAGGAGUACAUACUUUGAUUGAACUAGAUCUUUCACGAAACUUCCUGACAAGUAUAGACCAUCUUCCGUGGAAAAAUCUCGAAUAUCUCCACCUUGAUUCGAACUCACUUCAAGGAUCACUUCCAGAUCUACCACCUCACAUGGUAUCCUUUUCAAUUUCCAACAAUAGUUUGACUGGAGAGAUUCCUUCAUCAUUUUGUAAUUUGAGUUCCAUUCAAUAUCUUGACUUAUCCAACAAUAGCUUGAGUGGACAAAUUCCACAGUGUCUUGGAAACUCUACACUUGAGACUUUGGAUCUCCGAAUGAACAACUUCCAAGGUAGCAUCCCACAGACAAAUGCAAAAGGCUGCAAGUUAACUUAUCUUCGGCUGAGUGGCAAUCACUUGGAGGGACCGUUACCACCAUCUUUGACUAACUGUGUCAAAUUGCAAUUUCUUGAUGUUGGGAAUAACAACUUGAGCGGUCAAAUUCCAGAAUGUCUUGGAAACUCAACACUUCAAGUCUUGGAUAUGAGAAUGAACAAUUUUAGUGGCAGCCUCCCACAAACAUUUGCAAAAAGUUGUGUUUUGGUAAGUCUUAACCUUAAUGGCAAUCGGUUGAAAGGACCAUUACCUCCAUCUUUGGUUAAUUGUCAGUAUUUGGAAGUUUUAGAUGUUGGGAAUAAUCAGAUUGAUGACACCUUUCCCUACUGGUUAGACGUUCUUCUUGAGUUGCAAGUUCUUAUAUUGCGUUCUAAUAGAUUUUGGGGUCCUAUUGGUGAUACCAAAACAAGAGUUCCCUUUCCCAAGUUGCGAAUAAUGGAUUGCUCUCACAAUCAACUCACCGGUGUUUUGCCAUUAUGGUAUUUGGAAAGUUUUAAAGCCAUGAUGCAUGGGAAUAACAAUAGUGUUGAAGUCGGUUAUAUGAGGUUGCCGGGUUCUUCUAAUUACUAUGAGUCAAUAUUUCUGACUAUGAAAGGCAUUGACUUACAAAUGGAGAGGAUUCUAACAACUUUUGCAACUAUUGAUUUGUCCAGCAAUAGAUUUCAACGGAAAAUUCCAGAAGUAGUGGGAAAGUUGAAUUCACUCAAAAGUCUCAACAUUUCUCACAACAACCUGACAGGUUGUAUUCCUUCAUCGCUGAGAAAUCUGACAGAGCUUGAAUCUUUAGAUCUCUCUUCAAACAAGCUUGCUGGACGUAUCCCAACACAACUGGCGAGUCUCAAUUAUCUUUCGGUGUUGAAUCUUUCGAACAACCAGCUCGAGGGACCCAUACCAGGAGGACCCCAGUUUAAUACAUUUGGAAAUGAUUCCUAUUCUGGUAACUCGGGUCUGUGUGGAUUCCCAUUAUCAAAAAGCUGCAGCAUUGAUGAGGCACCAGAACCAACAACACCAACGGGAUUUAUCGAAGGAGACGAUGCUUCAAGCUGGUUUGAUUGGAAGCUCGCUAAGUUGGGUUAUGCAUCUGGAGUGGUGAUCGGCUUGUCCAUAGGAUACAUGGCAUUUGUGACUAGAGGGCCACAAUGGUUUGUAAGAAUGAUCGAAAGGAAGCAAUCCAGGAAGCUGAGAAGGGUGAUCAGGCGAGGCAGAGCAAGUAGAAGAAGUUUGUAGAUGCAUCUCUAAAGGCCAAGGUGAGUAAUUAUUAAGUGGGUGCAUUGCUCUUCUUGGAGAAAAUGUAUUAAAUGAAAUCCCACACAUUUGCCAAUGGGCUUGUACAACGUUGACGGCACUCAUACUCAUACAUCUGAGGGUUUAAAGUAAUUUUCGUAGAUCUUUUAUUGUAAUAUAUGUAUCUAUAUUUCAAAAGGAAGAAACCACCGUCAUCCAAUUUUAAUUAAGAAAAAUCUGCACUUUUUCAUAUAUCAAUUUUUUUCGUUUUGUAGAAACAAAAAUAAUUAUGCGUAAAAUGAAACCAAACGGCCAUUAAAUUUAGAGGGGUUUUCAUAGCGAUGCUGUUGAGAUUAAAAGUUAAAUCUUGAGACUUAAUCAACCAAACGAAUCAAACUAACUCCCCAAGAACCAAUUAUCAAAAGAUAAAAAAACAAUCAACACACCCAAGACACUAAAGAACUUAGAACAGAGAGGGUAAGAGGAAGAAGAAGAACUAAAUUGAUUACGUGGUUCAGUACCAAUGGUACCUACAUCCACGGCUGAAGAACCCUCUUGGGUUUGAAGCUUUUAUUGAACAAAUCGAUUACACAGAGACAACUGAUGACAAGGAUUAAAUCUCUCUCACAGAGUAUUUUCUAUCUUGUUGAUGCGAGAUUCUGGUUACACUCUUCCUACGACCAGGAUAUCUGCUCGACCAACCUCACCUCGAUCAGGAUCUCUCCUCAUACGCUUUCUGCUCCAGGUAUUCCUGCGUCCACAGAAACAAGUUAGAGCACGCCGGUUGUUUUUCCGGCGUAAACCCUUCGAUGCUCAAGUCAGAUAUGAAGGUUCCGGGAACGCUUGCCACGGAUCUUAUGGCUUUUCUGUAAUCUCCGUUCUUUAGAGUUCUCUUUUCUUAGUUAAAAAUAGCAAAAAUUCUAACCCUUUACCUUCGUUGGCUACCUUUUUAUAGGCUUCCUCUGAAUCCCGGUCUUUCGCAGUCUACGCCCGUCAUUCUCCCCACUCUCGGAUGUGGACGCCCCAUUAUCGCCAUUGUGGGCGAAUGGAGUCAGACCUCGUGCCUUAAUUCUUGGAUAGGAACGCACGUCCUGCCAACUGUCGUUGACUGGGUCUCCUCGCCUCGACCUUUAGCAGGAAUGACCUUAAGCCUCUAACGGGAGUUCGGCCUCACGAAUGGCAUAUUCGUGGAUGAGCAGAAUAUUUCUACUCCUAUUCCCCUGCUACUUGGCUCUUACAGGACACACCUGCUCGCAGAACUCUGCCACCAGACACCUGCUCAUCACGUCUGGUCUCCUCGAUAUAUUUCCCUCGAACACUGGUCCCCCAGUUUAUAGUGUUGGGUAAUGUAAUGGACCAGCAGUAGAAACUCAAUAGCUCUUGCUCGCGUGGGACUGGGAAAGACUGCCAAGAGUCAUAUCGUAUUUAAUUGCGGAGAAGGUGAGGUGGCAGAAAUCUGCCCCUCCAUUCGAAUUUCAAACCAACGGUUACGAGGCCCUUGGGAUUUGGUGCCGUUAAAUGCUGGCAACCCAAGAGUCCGUCCCCAUUAGGUAACCCAUAUCCUUUCGAAUCGGCAAACUCAUAUUUCCCUCUGUCUUCGUCUCUGUCUCUCCGGCGAAGAAGUUCCGGCAUAAAGGCCUCCAUCUCUGUCUUUCACCGACUGAACCAUUACUUCAGGUAUUUCUUCUAUCUCCUUCGUCUCGGAUAGUUAUAGAUAAUUUCUCUUUUCUUUUGUUUGGGUAGUAGUUGGUGGUGGUAUUGUGGUUAGAGCUUAGGGAAUGUCGAAAGGUAAAGAAAAGGUCAUUGAGGUUGACGACGGUGGGUUGGACUUCCUGCCUAGUCUGCUCACCGAUCCUGAUUUUGACCCCGGGAUCCCCUUGGAGCCUAUUAGCUCCAGUGUUGGCACUAGCGCUAGGAGGAUGUCUCCCCAAACAACCUCCUCGAGCGGACAUAGCGAUGAAAAAGGGUCUUCAGGCUCGGAGAACACCUUGAGUGAGGGUCGAGGAGAUAAUUCUGGUGAGGUGUCCCCAUCAAGAGCGUCGCGACCAGAAGGGCAGAGUACAGUAGGGGGUAGAGCCCUAUUGCGGGAUUACGCUAUUGAUUAUAUGACGUGCACGACCACGUUUGGCGAGCUCGAUGACCUCCGGCUUAAGUAUAGCAUUCCUGGUGAAAUAAUUCUUAAGGUCCCAAGAAAGAAGGAUACCCCUAGCCGGCCUCCUAGGGGUUAUAUUACCUUGUUCUUGGAGAGUUUCAGGCACGGGCUGAGGUGUCCCUUGCAACCCUACUUUGCCCGGAUUCUUAACGGGCUAAAUCUAGCUCCUGGUCAGCUGAACCCAAACAGGUGGAGAGUGCUCUCUGGUCUGUUCAUACUGUGGGAUAGAUGUUGCCAAAGCGAGCCCACAAUCGAUGAGGUGAAGCACCUGUACCAGCUGAAAAGCAGCCCCAAAGACGCCGGCUGGUAUUACUUCCAAUCAAGUACCAAGACCAGGAAACCCAUAACCAAUCUUCUUAUUGGUGGUGGUGGGAAUUGGAAGAGGAAGUUCUUUUUUGCAGGGGGUCCCUGGGGUCAAGUUGCACAGGUUGAUGGGCAGGACUUCCGCGUCCCACCCCGUUUCGUGGUCCCAGGUUGCCUGCUCGUAUUAGAUGUCUUGUCUCCCUUCUUGUUUGCACUUUACUGGUUUGUCCCUAACCAAGAGUUUGUUUGUGUUGCAGGUUCUUGGGGUGUUCACUUCCCGCUCAAACUUGACCAGCUUAAACGGGUCGAGGCUGUACUGGCCAAUUCCUGCUCGAGCCGAGAACUACUAACUACAUACAACUUCCUCGAGUUUCGCUUGAUACUUCUUGGCCAUAAGAUGGAGGACGCUGUGAUUGGGGCUCUAACCAGGAAACGUUCUCGUCCUCCAGCCACGAAGAGGGACCAGAGUAAGGGCGCCUCUACUGCAAAGCGGGCCAACAUCGUGCAGCAGGUCUCUCCUUUGAAGACUUUGCCUCCUCCUCCUGCCAAAGCCGGAGAAACUAGCGGAGCAGCCACUGAUCCUACUUCCUCUUCUCCUUCUGUUGGGUCUCGGUCUCGUCUACCUGACAACCGAGCAGAGCAUUUGGCCCUCUAUCUCAACGAGCUUUCCAAACUCGUGAGCAAGAAAGACCUCGAGGAUUUUGAUGGUUGCACCUUAGGCGAGCUGGUGAGAGCCAUGCAGUACAACGCUUUCCAUCUCAGCUGCAUGACCACCUACUAUAAGGCCAAGGUUGGACGCUACGACCGGAAGAUGAAGGAGGAUAUUCAAUCGGCGACGACCAGAGCUGACGUUGCCGAGAAGAAAGCAGGGGAGCUGAAUGUUGAGAACCUCAAGCUGAUAGAGCAAGAAUCUCUUGCUCAAGCAAAAGCCAUUACCCUCGAGGAGGAGCUGAACAAAGUCAAGGAGGAUCUGCGAAGGCAGAAGGCUAUGUAUGAGGCUCAGCUCGAAUCUCUUCGCGAUUCCCACCGAGCUCAGGUCGAAAACUUGGAGAGAGAAGCCGACAACCAGUACGACCAGGGACUUCGGCAUUCCUAUCAUUGUAUCAUGGCCGUUCUCGGGAAGCAGCACCCUGAUAUGAAGAUGGAUGACCUUGCAGCUGGUGUUGCUCAACAUAUGAAUGAGGAGGCGGCCAAGGAAGAUGCCGAAGGGAUAGAACCGAUCGUGAUUGAGGAGGAAAAUUCUCCUCCACGUGUAGUCCCUGCUGACGUUGGCGAGGCGAGCACCCCUGCCCCCGUUAGCGAGGCGAGCACCCCCCCGGACGCAACUGGUGAUACUCCCCCUGCACCUGAGGAGGUCCAGCCAACUGAUGCUGCUCGGCUUACCGAUCCACCAUCUUCUUGAACAUAUUUCUUGUGUUGUAAUGAACAAUGUUUGUGAAGAUUACCUCUUCUGUUAAUUAUUAACCAAUUAAUAAAGAUGUUUUUGAUUACUUUCUUGCGUUGGAAUCAUGAGUUAUUUUCCGUUUGAGAAUCUGCUCGUCUUCGUCUGGUUGAGCAGGUUCUGGCUUGGCAUAUGGUUUUGCCACAUGCCUUAGAGAAUUCUUCAAUGUUUGGGAUUCUGCUCGCCUUCGCGUGGUCGAACAGAUCCUGGCAUGCUUGGCUUCCGGUCUCGCCAUGGCGCAGGCUUUGAGACUUGACGAGCCUUUGCAUGCCUUAGAACUUUUUUUGAAUGCUUUGGAGUCUGCUCGCCUUCACGUGGUCGAGCAGAUCCUGGCACGCUUGGCUUCUGUCUCGCCAUAAAACAGGCUUUGAGACUUGACGAGCCUUUGCAUGCCUUAGAACUUUUUUCGAAUGUUUUGGAGUCUGCUCGCCUUCACGUGGUCGAGCAGAUCCUGGCACGCUUGGCUUCUAUCUCGCCAUAAAACAGGCUUUGAGACUUGACGAGCCUUUGCAUGCCUUAGAACUUUUUUCGAAUGCUUUGGAGUCUGCUCGCCUUCACGUGGUCGAGCAGAUCCUGGCACGCUUGGCUUCUGUCUCGCUAUAAAACAGGCUUUGAGACUUGACGAGCCUUUGCAUGCCUUAGAAAUUUUCACGGUUUCCAGUGACUGAAUUUCCUCGACGUUCCAUUAAUUGCAGGAUUCAACUUACAUGGAAUUGUUUGUACAUAAAAUAAAUAACGGCAAAUACUAACAGAAGUAACUUGAAAAUAUUAACGACUCUUACUGGAAAUAUUUCCUGAGAUGUGCUGCGUUUCAUGGGCGCUUCACCUCGUGGCCAUCCAUGCGAACCAGCUUGUACGCUCCUGGUCCAACUAGCUGCUUGACUCUAUAUGGUCCCUCCCAAUUCGGACCGAGCACUCCCUGAGUCGAGUCUUUGGUGUUCUGAUUUACUCUCCUUAACACCCAAUCUCCGACCUUGAACUGCCGUACAUUCACCUUCUGGUUAUAAUACCGGGCAACCCUCUGCUGGUAAAUGACUGAUCGCUCGGCUGCUUGCUCCCUUUUUUCCGUUAGCAAGUCCAAAUUCAAACACAUCUGCUCAUCGUUUUCUUGCUCGUUGAAAUGAUCUGUUCGGUGUGUGGUCGUUCCUAUCUCAGUUGGUAUGACCGCUUCAUGUCCGAAAGCCAAGGCGAACGGUGUCUCCCCCGUUGCUGUCUUAUGGGUUGUCCUGUAUGCCCAUAGUACGCCUGAUAGCUCAUCAACCCAAGCACCUUUCUUUGCUCCAAGCCUGGUUUUCAAAAGCCUUUUGAUGGUUUUGUUGGCUGCUUCUACUUGUCCAUUCGAUUGGGUGUGAGCAGGCGAGCAAUACUUCAGCUCUAUCCCGAGGUUCUGGUAGAAAUCCCUGAAGCUGUGAUUAUCGAACUGCCUGCCAUUAUCCGUUACCAAGGCAUAAGGGAUCCCGUAUCGACAGACCAGGUUUCUCCACACAAAGUCUGUUGUUUUCUUCUUUGUGAUCCUGCUAAGGGCUUCUACCUCUAUCCACUUCGUGAAGUAGUCUAUAGCAACUAUUGCAUGUGUUGCUGCUCCUCGUCCCUUUGGCAGCGGGCCGAUCAGAUCAAUUCCCCAUUGAGCAAAUGGCCAAGGGGAGGCCAUAGAGGUGAGCUUCUCUGGUGGCUGGUUGGAGAAACAUGCAAAACUCGGGCAGCUUACACAGCUCCUGGUCUUCUCUUGUGCAUCCUAGUGCAUUGUCGGCCAGAAAUAUCCCUGCCUUAGAACCUUGUGGGCCAAAGACCUCCCACCAGAAUAAUUCCUGCAAAUUCCUUCAUGUACUUCUCUCAGUACGUAAUCUGCGUCGUCCUCAUCCAAACAUCGCAGGAAGGGUAAUGUAUAUCCUCGCCAAUACAGUACCCCGUCGAUCAUCGUGUAUCUCGAGGCCUAGGCUCUAAUCUUCCGAGCUCGCAGCUUAUCUGAUGGCCAUACCCCGUCUGUAAGGUAUGAAGUUAUCGUAUCCAUCCACGAGCAUUUUCGUUCUAUCUGCAAUACCCCCAAAUUCUGCUCGAUACUUGGGCUGGACUUCACUUCUAGAGGGAUCGACUUUGGCAUUUUUGGGUCUGCUACCGCUGCCAUCUUGGCCAAAAUAUCUGCUCUACUAUUCUGCUCCCUAAGGAUUUAUACCACUUCCACUGCUUCAAAUUUCCCUAUCAUCUGCCUGACUAUCUUCAGGUAUUGUUCCAUCUUCUCCUCUCUUGGUUGAAAUCUUUCACUGACAUGAUUCGCGACCAGCUGGGAAUCAGUUCUGAUCUUAACCCUAUCUGCUUUCAUGGCCUUAGCUAAUUCCAAUCCUGCUAUCAAGGCUUCAUACUCUGCCUGGUUAUUUGUGGCCGCGAAUUCUAAUUUUAUCGCAUAAGAGAUCUCCUCCCCCUCUGGGCCUUCUAAGACAAUUCCUGCUCCUGAUCUCUGCUCCCCUGAUGACCCAUCUACUGACAUCUGCCAUAUUCGGGCUUCGUUGCUAUCUAAGGCAACAUCCAGCUGGUCCAAGCAUAUUUCAGGCUCUGCGAACUCUGCUACGAAGUCGGCCAUUGCUUGCGCCUUUAUCGCUACUCGGGGUUUGUAGUCUAUGUCGAACUCGCUCAGCUCUAUAGCCCAUUUGACGAGCCGACCAGAAGCAUCUGGCUUGUGCAGAGUUUGACGCAAUGACUGAUUUGUUAUUACCGAGAUGGGGAAUGCCUGAAAAUAUGGCCUCAAUUUCCGAGCAGCAACCACAAGGGCAAGCGCCCAUUUCUCCAACGGUGGGUAUCUAGUCUCAGCGUCGAGUAGGGCCUUGCUGGUGUAGUAUAUCGGAUACUGAACUCCCUCUUUCUCUCUCACCAGAACAGAACUGAUGGCCCGAUCCGAUACCACCAAAUAUAAAAAUAACUUGUCUCUAUUUCUCGGUGUAGAUAGCAAAGGGGCUUGCUGCAAAUACUGUUUCAAGUUCUGGAAGGCUUCCUCGCAUUCUGGGGUCCAUUCUGUUUUCUUUCCCCUCCUUAUUACUUGAAAGAAUGGCUAACACUUAUCUGUAGCCUUGGAUAUGAACCGGCUCAAUGCCGCCAACCUCCCCGUAAGGCUCUGCAUCUCCUUCAGGUUCCGAGGAGACCUCAUCUGCACGAUCGCCUGGAUCUUCUCGGGGUUUGCUUCAAUCCCCCUAUGGCUUACCAUGAAUCCAAGGAACUUCCCUGACUCGACCCCAAAAGCACACUUCUCCGGGUUGAGCUUCAUCUUAUACUUCCUCAAAAGCCCGAAUGUCUCCUCGAGGUGUCUGACAUGAUCCUUCGGGAUUUUAGAUUUGGUGAUCAUGUCAUCCACGUACACCUCCAUGGUUUUCCCAAUCAACGGCUUAAAGACUUUAUUCACCAGCCUCUGAUAGGUGGCCCCAGCAUUUUUGAGACCAAAUGGCAUUACCCUGUAACAGAAUAAACCCUGGUUAGUGAUAAAAGCAGUACUCUCCUCAUCCUGCUCGUACAUAGGAAUUUGGUUAUAUCCCGAGAACGCGUCCAUGAAACUGAGCAGGCCGUGCCCAGCUGUUGAAUUUACUAGCUGGUCGAUUUUUGGCAAAGGGAAGCUAUCUUUCGGGCAUGCUUUAUUGAGAUCUGUGAAGUCCACACACAUCCUUCAUUUUCCGUUUGCCUUCUUUACCAACACCACAUUCGAUAUCCACUCAGGAUAAUUGACUUCCCGAAUGAACCCUGCUCUUAAGAGCUUUUCCACCUCGCCAUUUAUAACCUCAUACCUCUCUUGGUUGAAGCACCUCCUUUUCUGCCUUACUGUUCGAGCACCUUUCUUUAUUGCCAGCUUAUGACAUGCUACCUCAGGAUCAAUCUCUAGCAUGUCUUCAUGUGUCCAAGCAAACACAUCUGCAUGAGCCUGUAAGCAUUUCACCAACUCCUGCUUCUGCUCUUCCUAAAGUCUCGACCCGAUUCUGAUCGUCUUCCCCAGAUUCUCUGGUCUCAGGCUUACGGUCUCCAGCUCCUCUACGGGUUCUUGUCUACCAUUCUUGUUUUCCACUCGAGCAUCAAGGGAUGUUAUCUGCAUUGCUUCCCUUGCUGCCGAGAAGUAACAGCUUCUAGCGAUUCUCUGGUCUCCUCGUACCACCCCGACUACCCCGUUCACCCGGUACUUGAGAGCCAGAUAAUGGUUAAACAGUACCGCUUUGCUCAUCCUCAGAAACGGCCGACCUAGGAUCAUCUGGUAUGGACCUUCUUCAUCCACCACCAUAAAGUCUAGUAUCACAGUCCUUUCUGUCGGGGAGCUCCCAAUUGUGAUAGGCAGCUCGACCACACCUAGGGGGACCAGCUUUCCUCCUCCGAAUCCCUUCAAGGAGGUAUUGGUGUAUUCUAACUUCAGGUCUGCUAUUCCCAUUUCCUCCAGGGUUGACUUAAGCAACACGUCAACUGAGCUCCCUAUGUCAACCAGUAUCCUGUCAAACUUCUUGCUAGCGAUAGUGGCCUUGAUGACCAAAGCAUCCUCGUGGGGGUACAGAAUUCCUUCUUCAUCCUCAUCUGUCCACAUAAUUGGCACUUGCCUCACUCUUGCACGUUUGGCUGCUGGGGUAUUGAAGAAUACCUCUUUGCUGGUCAUGGCGUAUCUAGCAUAGUUCUUCCUCGACCUGUUGGAAUCUCUGGCCAAUGUUGGGCCCCAGCUAUCACCCUAACUGCAGGCUGCUCGCGCCUCAAGUUCCUGUCUCUCUGCUCCCCUUCACUUGUCGAGGCUACCAUUGGGAAGGUCCCAUCUAUAAACUCGUCCAGGUACCGAUUUCUCACAAAAUCUUCAACCUGGGUCUUGAGAUCUCUACACUCUGCUGUGGUAUGGCCAUGAGUGCCAUGAAACUUACAAUAGCGUCCCCUAUCCCUCCUGCCGGGUAGCUUUGUUAUUAGGGCAGAGAGGUACAGCAAUCCUCGGUCCUUUAUGGCCUCGUACACCUCGUCCAGGGACAUCUUCAAUGAAGUAUACCGCCCAUAGUCUUGGUUCUGGUCGAUCAGGUGUACUGCCUUUUCUCUAUUUGCUCCGUUUUAAGUUGGGGGUAGUGGCAGCACUUCUGGUCUGCUCCCUCUACUGCCGUGGGAGUGUUGAUGAAGACCACCAUAUGUCGAAUCAUGCCUUCUCCAAGGAUCCCUAGCUGGGGAACGAAAAGGUUGCGCCCUGCUGCGCUGAUAUUGUGGUGGCCUCUGAUGAGGCUGGUAAGCUGUUACCCGACCUCCUGCUCCACUACCUGAGGCCUGGUGGUCCCUCCUCCUGAUCGGCCCAUUCCCUGGUGGUGCCUUCUUCUCUUUCUUUUCCAACCCCUCUAGCUGGUCAGUCUUAAUUCGAGCCGCCUUUUCUUCCUCGAUCUCUAUGUCUCUUUUAACCUGCUCGUAUGCGGCCACAUAUGACUGAAUAGCUGGGCUUCUCAAGUUGUACCACAGCCUUCCUAUCUUCACUCCCUCUUUCAAUCCCCUUAGUGCCUGAGGAUGGUUGAAGGCUCCCAAAUCGAGGACAGCACGAUGAAACCUCUUGAUGAAUUCCCGAAGGGUUUCUUGCUCCCGCAGAGGUAUGUUAUCUCUCUCACCACCAAAUCUCCCGGUGGUUUGACUUCUCCUCGCACUAUCAGGACCUGGUGCCACUCCACCACCUCUCACCCUUUCCUCCUGGGUUACCCUGCGUUCACUCCGUAGCUCAUGCAGGAUGGUUGUCAGGGUCUCCAUCUGCGUUUCCAUCCGUUCCAUCCGGUCGAACAUGGCUUUUUCCCGUGCUUCACUGGCUAUCUCCCUCAGCGUCACGGAAUCGUUAAGCCUCAAAUCACCCCCUUGUGCACUACUUCCUCCUGUCUCCAUUGCUUUUCACUUGCUUCACUCCUCUUCUUCCUAUCAACAGAAGCUUUUUGCUCAACUCCUCACAGACGGUGCCAAAAUGUUGAUGCGAGAUUCUGGUUACACUCUUCCUACAACCAGGAUAUCUGCUCGACCAACCUCACCUCGAUCAGGAUCUCUCCUCAUACGCUUUCUGCUCCAGGUAUUCCUGUGUCCACAGAAACAAGUCAGAGCACGCCGGUUGUUUUUCCGGCGUAAACCCUCCGAUGCUCAAGUCAGAUAUGAAGGUUCCGGGAACGCUUGCCACGGAUCUUAUGGCUUUUCUGUAAUCUCCGUUCUUUAGAGUUCUCUUUUCUUAGUUAAAAAUAGCAAAAAUUCUAACCCUUUUACCUUCGUUGGCUACCUUUUUAUAGGCUUCCUCUGAAUCCCGGUCUUCCGCAGUCUACGCCCGUCAUUCUCCCCACUCUCGGAUGUGGACGCCCCAUUAUCGCCAUUGUGGGCGAAUGGAGUCGAACCUCGUGCCUUAAUUCUCGGAUAGGAACGCACGUCCUGCCAACUGUCGUUGACUGGGUCUCCUCGCCUCGACCUUUAGCAGGAAUGACCUUAUGCCUCUAACGGGAGUUCGGCCUCGCGAAUGGCAUAUUCGUGGAUGAGCAGAAUAUUUCUACUCCUAUUCCCCUGCUACUUGGCUCUUACAGGACACACGUGCUCGCAGAACUCUGCCACCAAACACCUGCUCAUCACGUCUGGUCUCCUCGAUAUAUUUCCCUCGAACAUAUCUCUCACCCUAAGCCUCUCAAAAUCGUGAAUCAAGUGCUACUGCUGAUCAGCCUUGAGCCAUCUUUUAUAGCUCUAUUUUGUCCAGCUGUUAGUAGUAACAAACUUAACUAACUCUGGCCCCACCAACGCUGACUCAGUUUGCCACUUAACCACUUAACCUCUUAACAGAAUUAACUAACUUACCUUCACAGAUGCCAUACCUUAACAGCAGUCCCCACAUACGGCGCGGCCCAUGAUUCCACUUAUAACACGUUCUCAAGAUAAUUGAUUAGGUGUAAAAAGAAAAUGGUUUGAAUAAUUAAAAAAACAUUGGUCCAAAAUCUCUAACCUUUUAUGAUCCUUGUUCAAACGGCCCAGUACGUGCCACGUCAACAUGUGCAAACUCAUCCACGUCACCAGCCUCAGCGCUCUCGCCACAUCAUCACUCGAUGAUCAUUUGGAUUAAGAAAAACAGUUGAAUUGGGUCUCGUCAGUCAUCACAGAGGCCGAGCACAAAAGACAAAGAGAAACUGAAAUGGCGCGAGCUUUGCUUUAUUUGAAUCGCACAGCCACGACCAUAAUAGUUAUGUUGAUUGAUGUGGUUUGACUUUCGUAUGUUAUUAUUUAAAUCCCCUAAUAUGUUAAAAUUUAAAAAACUGUAAAACUUGUUUAAAGUAACAUAAAUAUAAAAAUUACUCUACUCAACAUCUCAACCAUAAAUUAUAUAAAUAACUAAAUAUAAAUACAAAGUUAAAAACCAUGUCUCAUUCCUUUAAAAAACACACAAUUUAAUUCCAUAAUCUAAGCAAAGAGUUCAUCAAUUUAACAAAUAAAAUAAAAACACACAACUCAAUACCACAAUUUAGACCAGGAGUUCAUUAGUUCAUUGGUUUAACAAAGAGUUCAUCAAUUUUUUUUUAAAUUGUUAAAUGAGAGAGUUGGGUUACAUAAAGCCCAAACCCUAACCCAAAUUUAAUUAAACUUUUAUUUUUUAAACUUGAGUUCGAUUUUUGACCCUCAAAUUCAAGUCAAAGCCCUAAAAAUUCGAGUCGGGCCAAUCCGGUCAAAAAUCGGGUCGAGCUUUUUUGCCAUCUUUAUCCAAGACAUUGUGGAAUUGGGCUGCUCAAAUUGUUAUUCCUGAAAUUAAUAAACAUCAAACCGAUACAAUUAACUAAAUAUGGUGCCAAUGAUCCUUCUAGGUGAUUGUCAUUCAGCGUAAGCAUACAAAUUGCCACCUUUUUUGCAUAUGAUUGUGGGAUUCUACCACGAAGAUUGUUCAUUCUAAUAUUUAAGUACCCCAUUGUAAAGUUUCCAAGGCACGACUGAAGCUAUUAUUUGGACAUAGAGAUGGCCACUCGCCAAUGCGAGUAUGUUUUAGAAGGGCACGUAGCAUGGUGUGCACACAAAUUAACAAAUUAGAUAGGGCUGAGAAUUUUAAGUAUGUGGCCCUUAAAAUCAUGUCCUUCUCUAAAUGCAACAAUGGGCAAUAUCAAAUAAUCGUGACUCAAUUAAUUGUAGCAAUAAUGAUGUAGGAGAUUAUAUGAGCUUAAUUUGGGUGUACUUCUUUGGUUUUACAAGUUGAAUUUGAAUGUGUAAUAUUACUGUUCUGAAACUCAAUAAGAUAAUUGAUUGGGUGUAAAAAGAAAAUAGAUUGAAUAAUUGAAUUAACUUCUGUCCAAAAUCUCUGACCUUACAUGAUCCUUGUUCAAAUGACCCAGUACGUGCCACGUCUACAUGUGAAAACUCAUCCACGUCACCAGCAUCAAUAUUCUCGCCACGUCUAUCACUCAACAGGUUACCAGUGAUGAUAAUUUGGAUAAGAAAAAUUGUUGAAUUGAGAGCCUUCACUCUUCACAGAGAAACCAAAAAAGCGCGAGCUUUGCUUCACUUAAAUAGCACAGCCACGGCCUUAGUGGCCAGGGCUACAUCCUACAAGUGCUACUACAGAGACAGUUCUUGAUGGAGCUCAGUUUCAAAUGAAGAACCAAAACACCCGCGUUUUGGUACUUGGAGUUACGGGUCGGGUCGUGGGAUCCACUGCUGUUUCUCUCUACAAACUCUGCCCCAACCUUCAGAUUGUAGUUGGCUCUCGAAAUAGGUCAAAUCAUCAAUGUCCUUUUCUUUCUUCUGUUUGGUUUCCGAAAAAAUGCAAGAAAUAAAGGAGGGAAAUUUUUAAAGCUUUGUUAUUUUAUGUUAUUUUUAUGUUUACUAUGUUUCUUUGGUUCUUUUAAAAUUUAAUUUCAAGGUGAUGGCUAAGGGUAAACUGCAAUGCUUUUACAUGAUUCCAAAAGCACAUUUCUAAACAGCCACUCAACUACAAGCAAUUGUCAUGUCCUGUAAUUGUAGAUUAAGGCUACAUUUGGUAGUGGUAUUGUGCGGUCGAGGCUUUUUAAGGCACAUCUACUUUUAAAUGAGAGCUACUGUGAAAUCAAAAUUUUAGUUAUAAAAUAAAAGUUUAUAGUGUUUGGUAAUUUUUUUUAAAUAAUAAUUUUGAUAAAAAUAGUAAACCUAACAUAGGUUAGGCAAUUGUGAAUAAAUUUGCUUUAAUUGUCAAACUGUGGUUAUACUAUUUACCAAAUAUUUGAGAGUGCCUAAACAAGCCAUUAUAAAAUUACCAAUUAUACAAAAAAUUGUAAUUCUCUCUCUUUUUGGUUUUCAUAAGCAUUCGAAAGGCAAUAAUAUCUUUUUUUUUUUUUUAUUGAUAUGCUUUGACCACGGUAUGUUAUUAUUUUAGAAUGUCGUCAAACAUGUUAGUUCUUGGAUGGAACUAUAGAGUUGUGAAUUCAAAUACUUAUGGCUAGAAUGUUUCCUAAUUUAGAGUGUUGCUGAGAAAAUUCUGCAUACUGGCAGGGAAAAAAGUGCCACAGUGGUCUCUACACUGAGGAAGAAUUCUGCAUUUGCUGAAGUUAACGUUGACAAUGAAGGCUCAUUAUAAAUGGCUUUAAUGUUGUGUUUACUUUCUGAAGUGGGAGUAAGGAGUGUGGAUUCCUCCCACUCUAAUGUUUACUUCAACAUUUUAAGGUAGGAUGGGGAGUGGGAGUGAGACUCCAAUGUUCCACUCCCACCUCUUCCUUUUCUACCCUCUUUUUAUUAAAUUUAAUAUAAUUAAAUUUAAUAAAUUAAUUCCACUCCCACCUCUUCCUUUUCUACCCUCUUUUUAUUAUAUUUAAUAUAAUUAUAUUUAAUAAAUUAAAAUAAAUAAUAUUAUAUUUAUUUAAAUAAUAUUAUUAUAUUUAACUAAAUAAUAAUUUGUAUUGAUUCUAAGUUAAAAUUAUUAAAAAUAAUAUUAUUAUAUUAAUAGAGAAUUAAUAAUAUUAAUAUAAACUAUCUUUAUUUGAAAAUAUAAUACUAUUAUAUUUAUUUAAAAAUAAUAGUAUUAUAUUUAUUUAAAAAUAAUAGUAUUAUAUUUAUUUAAUAUUAAUAAUUAAUAGUAAUAAAUAGUUUAUUCUAAGAAAAUAUUAAUUUCAUACUAUCUUAAUAGUAAAAAUGUUUUAUUUAUAUUGCCCUUAUCAAUAAUUUUUAAUAUACAUACUUAAAAUUAAAAUUAAUAAAAAAAUGUGAUGUACAGAAUUAAGAAUAUUAAGAAUUAUUAUAAUUUUACAAAUAUAAUAAAAUAAAUAUUUACUCAUCAAAUAUAUAUUUUUAAUAACUUUGUAAUUAAAAACUAUAAUUCUUUAAAUAAAGGUAAAAUUAUAAUUUGAAACUAUUUACUCACGAUUCAAGAUAAAGUAAACACAUAAAUUAGAUUCUUAUUUCCAUUUCAUGCUUCCAUUCUGAUGUAAGUAAACAACCUGCUCUCACUCCUACUCCACACUCUCAAUCCUAAGAUUUCCACUUUUCAGGAUUCUUACUUCAAUAUAAAAUGUAAACAUUACCAAAGAAGUGUGAUCAUUCCUCUCAUACUAGAUGUAUCUUCUGUUACUCCGCAUCAAUAAUUCUUUUUCUUCUAGGGUCGAAGUAAAGGAAUUUUUUCAGGACAGAUAUUUCGUUAUUGACAAUAUUUUAAUGAUGUUUUAGUCUGUAGUUGAAAUGCUGCAACUUUGCUUCUGCAGAUGUGGAUCUUGUGGUUCAUGCAGCAGAGCCUUUUCAACAGGCACCGAAAUGCACUGUAUUGGAAUUUGCCAUGGAAACCAAGGUGAGGAAAGGUAAAUGUUGUGUUUGAUUCUCUCUUUUCCAAGUCCAGUUUUCUACGUUUUAUAUAUGUGAUGAUUGAAGCAUGUAUACAACUUUACUAUGUAACCGAGAUGUCAUCUUAUGUGUUCUUUUUGUGUCUCCUAACAGACAGCAUACAUUAAUGUUUGUGACGAUACCAGUAACUCUCAGCCCGCAAAGUCCUUCAAGGUUAAAGCAAUAACUACAAACAUUCCAGCCAUAACUUCUGAAGGAAUCUAUCCAGGAGUAAGCAAUGGUGAUUUUAUGAACAUUCUUGUCCUGCAAUCUGCACUUCUAGUGCAGAAAAUUAAAUAUAUGACGUGAAGUGAAGAGUAUGGAUGGAUAGAGCACAAAUUCUGCAAUUGAAACAUGUACAGCCUACAAAUUCUUGCUUUAGAGCUAGAACAUCAUUGUUGGUGAACGCAUAGGCCUGGCUCCAAAGCUCUUAUAUAUUAUGGACAGGAUCCAGCGUGCUUGUGUUCAUAUUCAUGAUUUUUGCCACUGGAAGACCUCAGUGUUUUGUAAAGAUGAUUGAACGGAAGCAAUCUAAGAAGGUCAUGAGGAGGGUGCAUCCACUGCUCCAAGCUAUUUGUAGAUUGCACGCUGAUUUUUAUAUAUUCUGAACUACUAUUUGAACUGCAUAAUAAUGUGACGUGUUUUUUGUACAGGAAUUUUAGACUUAUGGAAGGUAGCAUUGGAAGUGAAGCAAUCCUCCUGGUGCCAAACUUGCCUUGCUUUAUUUCCAUAUCUUUAGAAUAUUUUACCACUUAUAUUUUAUUGGUAAUUAAAUUUAUAAAAAUUUUGAGGGAAAAAAUGAUUCGAAAAAUUAUUGAUGUAGGAAAUGGCGUGGGCUGAUCACUUUGAUUUAGUGCAUCUUUGGGCUAUGAAAUGUUGAAUUUGGGCGUACUUGGAAGCCUGCAACAGGAUGAACAACAUUCAUUGUCAUUGUCCUUGUUGCCCAUGAUACUAUUGACAAAUUUCAAUGUUUCUGGACUGAAUAUCGCAUUUCAAUUUACUUAAUUUCCAGCACCUUAGGAAUCUUCUAUGAUUUUUCUUUUUAUUUUUAUUUUAUAAGAAAUACAUAUUCUUACUCUAAUUUCCAGUAUUUUUCUAAUAAUGGUUAGAAUCUGCUGCGUUCGUAGAUUAGGCAUUAACAGGCUAUAAAACCUCAUGGCUAAACAAUUUUUAUCAAUUAAACAUAUUAUUCAGAAACUUUAUUUCUUCUUUUCGUCUCACUUUAGAAAUAUUUAUAAGCCCAACGAAUUUGCCCGUUUAACAAAUUGUUCUUUGUAUGCGCCAUUGGGAAAAUCAAAUAAUAUUUAGAGGCUAACUUCAAUGUCUUCUUGCAUAUAAUUGUAAGAUUUGUGCAUUUAAUAUGUCAUUUGAAGUACGCAAUGAGAUGGAUAAAAAUCUUUUCCUUCUCGUGAUGUAUGCGAGACUUUUUGCCAAAUUCCAAUGCCUUCUUGCAUUAAAAUUGGGACACAUUAUUUUGUAUUAAAACGAAUUUGCCAGUUUAACACACUGUUGUCGUGUACUAAUCAAAUAACUUUAUUUGAUUCGCUAUUCGAUCAUAAGGGAUGUAGGUGUUAUAACAUAUAUAUGGAUACCGUCUAUUCCUCUACCUUGUAUAAAACAAUAAUAAUAACAACAACUGGAGUCUAAGCGGCUGCCACAUCACCAUUUCUCUUAUCUAUAUAUUGUUUGAGCUUUAAUUUGGACAGGUUAGUGGAAAUAGAAUAAUCAAAGUCUACUAAAAACGUCAAGAAAGGAAAUGAGUAAAAUACAAACAUAGUCUAUCAAUGUUUAAUGUUUAAUGUAACGUUGCGUGUUGGCUGUAUUAAUAGAAAUCCUCCGCAUUUGCCAAUAGGUUCGUAGCCCCUUGACAGCACUCAUGCUCUCAAAUCUUGAGAGCAAUUAAUUCGUGGGACUCACAUUUUUCUGUCAAUAUAAUUAGAUAUGGGUAGAUUUUUUCUACUAAUAUAAAUAGAGCAUAUAUCCCUAACAAAUUUACGAAAUUAUCCAUCUGACUUUUAGGAAAUUAUACCAUUUCAGGAAUCAGGACCCAAAAUUUCAUUUGAAUUUAUUUUAAAUUACAGCCCUGAGGAAACUUCUAAGAUUUAUACUUUUAUUUUCAUAACAAAAUCUUAAGCUACUUCCGUUUGUUGCGUUUUUAAUUAAUUUCAGUUUACACCUUAAACUUUGCCGAAUUUUUUUUUUCAGCUUAAGAGAGCAUAUUAACGCCUACAUAAAAGAAGCUAUAUACCAUUACAAAUAGAGUAAUAUUAGUACAAAAUUAAUUCAAACUAGAGAAAAAUAUCACAUAUUUAGUGAGCCUUACUUAGGAAAAGGGUUUAAGAUCUAUAUCGAGUAUUGAUCAAGCAAUUUCAGCAUAGAGAUUACACACAUAAAUAGUAAACAAUUAAGAGUAAAUGGAAGGUCUAGCAACUAACUGGAAUUUUACAAAACCAGUGGCAAAUGCACCAAUAAACUAGACUCUAGAACAAGAUUACGAGGAAAAAAGUAGAAAGUUAGAAAAAUUAGAGAUAAUAGGUAAUAAUCCCAGUAGAAAAGAUAAUAAAGAAGUAUAUAAAUUAAAAAUAAUUAACCCAAAUACAACAACAAAAACAAAUAAUUUAGUUUAUAAUUUAGAAGACUUGGUGCUCUGACUCUAAAGGUGUUCUAUUUAAUUAGAUUCCCCUCUAGUGGUGUGAUUAAAAGAUAUGGAUAGAAAAGGUUAUUUUAACUUAUGAGGUGGACUUGACUAAAGUGUUCAUUAAUGACAUGACGUUGAGAAAGAAUGUAACACCUUAGGCGAAUCCCACAUCGACAAAGCACGGGAGAGAUGUUGGGUUUAUAAGGGGUGAUCCACACCUUAAUUGGCAAGACGCGUUUUGGGGUGUAUAGGCGCCCCAAGAACAAAUCCGUGCGGACCUUGUUAAGACCCAAAGCGGACAAUAUCUUGCCAGGUCUGGGUUGGGUCACGACAUUAUGGUAUCAGAGUGGCUCCGCGUGUCCUCUUGAGCGAUGGUGGGGCAAACCUCAGCGAGGACGCUGAGUCCUCAAGGGGGGGUGUAUGUAACACCUUAGGCGAAUCCCACAUCGGCAAAGCACGAGAGAGAUGUUGGGUUUAUAAGGGGUGAUACACACCUUAAUUGGCAAGACGCGUUUUGGGGUGUAUGGGCGCCCCAUGAACAAAUCCGUGCGGGCCUUGUUAAGACUCAAAGCGGACAAUAUCUUGCCAGGUCUGGUUUGGGUCUUGACAUUAUGGUAUCAGAGCGGCUCCGCGUGUCCUCUUGAGCGAUGGCGGGACAAUCCUCAGCGAGGACGCUGAGUCCGCAAGGGGGGUGUAUGUAACACCUUAGGCGAAUCCUACAUCGGCAAAGCACGGGAGAGAUGUUGGGUUUAUAAGGGGUGAUCCACACCUUAAUUGGCAAGACGCGUUUUGGGGUGUAUGGGCGCCCCAAGAACAAAUCCGUUCGGGCCUUGUUAAGACCCGAAGCGGACAAUAUCUUGCCAGGUCGGGGUUGGGUCAUGACAUUAUGGUAUCAGAGCGGUUCCACGUGUCCUCUUGAGCGAUGGCGGGGCAAACCUCAGCAAGGACGCUGAGUCCCCAAAGGGGGUGUAUGUAACAUCCUAGGCGAAUCCCACAUCGGCCAUACACCCUAAAACGCGUCUUGUCAAUUAAGAUGUGUAUCACUCCUUAUAAACCCAGCAUCUUUCCCGUGCUUUGCCGAUGUGGGAUUCGCCUAGGGUGUUACAUACACCCCCCCUUGGGGACUCAGCGUCCUCGUUGAGGUUUGCCCCACCAUCGAGGUUUACCCAACAAUUUGCUCAAGAGUUUUUUGUUUUUAUAUGCCACAAUACUUGCCUAAUUUAUGUAUUGUUCAUGGAGUAGAUAACCAACUGAUAUGUUUCAUAUUCUUACAUUUGAUUUACAAAAAUCACAGCCCUGAUUAAAUUGAAAUUAUGCUUAUAAUCAGCAUCUAUAGUCUAUAGAGAGAAAGAAAAUGAGGGUCAUAUAUAAGAAAUCACUGAUAGGAUGUGUUCUCUUGAUUAGGAAUUUUAGACUUUUGGAAGCUAGUAGUGGAAGUCAAAUAAUGUCCAGGUACCAAAAUAUGUUUUGCUUUCAUUUCCAUUGCAUAAGAACAUGAUACUACACACUUACAUUUUGAUGGUUAACUUGAUCAAAAUUUUCAGGAAAAAAAAUUAUUUUAAAAAUAAUUUUGACGUAGGAAAUGAUUUGGGGCGACAUUCAUUUGGUGCCAUUUAGGCCACAUUUUUUCAAUUGGGCGUAUGGUAUAUACUUUUCAAAGCUGGUAACAACAUGAACAAUGUUGUCCAUUUGCCUUUGACUCUGAUGUCCGUGGGGCAUUAACAAGAUGAAAUUGUACAAUUUCAGGACUCAAAAUCGCAUUUGAAGAAUUGAAGUUAUUUCAAAUUCCAGCACUUCGGGAAACUUCUAAGAUUUGUACUUUACUACUUUUAUUUUCAUAACCAAUUCUUAUUUUCUUAACACAAUGUUGACCUCUGGGCUAAUCAAGCAUUUAACUUUCCUAAUACAAUUUAUCACAAAACGAUUAUCCCUUUUCAUAUUUUAAGUUCAGUAAUAAGAAAGAGGAGGCACCUUCCAAAUGUAUGCACCUUUUUUAGUUUUAUCCCACAAAACUUUAUCACAAAACAAUGGCCUUUUUUAGUUUUCCAAAUGCAAAACUUUAUAACGUCUUUGGUGGACGUUAUUCUUUUAUACUAAAUAUAUCUUUGAGUUAAACAGUUAUUAAAACAUUGGGGCUAGUUUUUCAUUUAACUACAAAAUUACUUUUUUUGAAACCCAUAAAACUAUUUUUAAGUAGUAAAUUAGUUCUAUCACGUCUUCAACUAUUACCAAAUUCUUAUUCGAGUUCACCAGUUUAGUAGUAAAUGUGUUAUCUAAACAAUCUCAAAUGAUGUAUUAAAUAAAUAUUUUGAGGAACAAGGCUCAUUAUGUCUCCUCCCAUUAGUUGUAUUUUUAAUUUCUUUUUAAAAAAUUCUCUCAUAAUCAAUUAAAAAAAAAUCAGCUACCCCAAAAAAAAAAAGCAUUUAGCUUCGCGGCUGAACGGGGCUAAUUUGUGUAUUGUUUGACUGGUGAAACUCUUACCACAUCGGCUCAUAUGUUGUUUUUAAAUUGGAAUAAUGUAUUAACAGAAUAAAAAUUUUCAUAAUCUAACAAUUGAUUUACAACAACCCGAGUCCUGAUUAAAUUCAAAUAAUAAUUAUAAUCAACAUCUAUAGGAAAAUUGAAAACGAGAAUCAUAUGUAAAAAGAAAUCAUUUCGUAUGCCCAUUACCAUAUUAUAUUUGCACAUUAGAAAUUAAUAUAAAAUAAUAAUUUAAUAAUUAAUUUAAUAUAAUUAAUAAUAAAGCAGUAAUAAAUUUAAACAAUAUUAAUACAAAAUUGAUAAAGUAUAAUCUAACAUUAAAUACUAUACAGAAUUAAAGCAGAGGAUGGAAAAUCAAAAUGAGUAGGAUUCCACUUACCACCUAAAUUCCAAAGCAAGACUUGGUGCCAUAAGUCAAUAAAUAUUAUAUUAUUAAUUAAUUACACACCAUAUUCAACUUCUAUAAAUAUUCAUUAUUUCUCUCUCUCUUCUUGUGAUUUCAUCAUCCAGAAAAGAAAAAGAAAAAGAAAAUGGGUUAUAUCACUCUGCCUUAUCAACUUUUUAUUUGCCUCCAGUUAUUCCUCUUCUAUUCUCAAUGUUCAGCAAUACUUUGCUCUCACGACCAAAGUUCUGCUUUACUCCAAUUUAAGCAGCUCUUUUCCUUUAAAAAAGAUUCUUCGUGGUUUUGUGAUGGACGUCAACAAUCUCGUCCAAAGAUGAUGUCUUGGAAAGAGGACGCUGAUUGCUGCUCCUGGGAUGGAGUAACAUGUGAUUCGGUGACGGGUCACGUGAUUGGCCUCGACCUCAGUUGCAGUUGGCUUCACGGCAACAUCCCUUCCAACAGUAGCCUUUCCUUGCUUCCUCGCCUCCGAAAGCUCAACCUAGCCUUCAAUGAUUUCAAUUACUCUGAGAUUUCCUCUGGUUUUACUGCUCAAUUUCCGAGUUU